UGAGGAAUAUUGGUCAAUGGGCCGAGAGGCUGAACCAGCCAAGUCGCGUGAAGGAUGAAGGAUCUAUGGUUUGUAAACUUCUUUUAUACGGGAAUAAAGUGAGCCACGUGUGGUUUUUGUAUGUACCGUAUGAAUAAGCAUCGGCUAACUCCGUGCCAGCAGCCGCGGUAAUACGGAGGAUGCGAGCGUUAUCCGGAUUUAUUGGGUUUAAAGGGUGCGCAGGCGGCGCGCCAAGUCAGCGGUCAAAGUUCCGGGCUCAACCCGGUGUCGCCGUUGAAACUGGCGUGCUCGAGUGCGUGCGAGGAAGGCGGAAUGCGUUGUGUAGCGGUGAAAUGCAUAGAUAUGACGCAGAACUCCGAUUGCGAAGGCAGCUUUCCAGCGCGCUACUGACGCUGAGGCACGAAAGCGUGGGGAUCGAACAGGAUUAGAUACCCUGGUAGU
This 441-nucleotide ribosomal RNA is filed under the name uncultured Parabacteroides sp. Its description in RNAcentral is "bacterial SSU rRNA". It matches the Rfam family "Bacterial small subunit ribosomal RNA", at positions 355 to 794 of the family's 1533-position model. The record is from RNAcentral. Lineage: Bacteria; Pseudomonadati; Bacteroidota; Bacteroidia; Bacteroidales; Tannerellaceae.